CAGUAGCCGCGGGAAUACGGAGGAUCCGAGCGUUAUCCGGAAUUAUUGGGUUUAAAGGGUGCGUAGGCGGAUAGAUAAGUCAGUGGUGAAAGACGGUGGCUCAACCAUCGCAGUGCCGUUGAUACUGUUUAUCUUGAAUAUGGAUGAGGUAGGCGGAAUGUGGCAAGUAGCGGUGAAAUGUAUAGAUAUGCCACAGAACACCGAUUGCGAAGGCAGCUUACCAAGGCAAAAUUGACGCUGAGGCACGAAAGCGUGGGGAUCGAACAGGAUUAGAUACCCCAGUAGUCCCUGUCUCUUAUAC
This 301-nucleotide ribosomal RNA is filed under the name uncultured bacterium. Its description in RNAcentral is "partial 16S ribosomal RNA". It matches the Rfam family "Bacterial small subunit ribosomal RNA", at positions 509 to 807 of the family's 1533-position model. The record is from RNAcentral.